CUUUCCCUCUCUCUGUUCUGAUAGAAGCAGACUAGCAGAAACUCCCUCCCUCUUCGUUCCGUUAGAAUCAACUCUUUGUUCUUUGUAGAUCUCCGGCGUCAAAGAUCUGAAGCAAUCCUUGGCCGACCCACAGGGAUGAGUUCUUCAAAUAAUUCAGGGGGAAACAACUUCAUCGGAAAUUAUUUAGGCUAUGGACGAAUCUCUGGUUCAGACAACAGCAGCGGCAGCGGCGGCGGCGGCGGCGGCAAUGGAAAUAAUUCAAAGGGGUCAGGAAGUACCAAGAAUCAGAUAGGGCGCCUGCUAAGCUAUGGGAGUCCGAGGCCACCUCCACCCAAAAAGUAAACAAUGCUUCUUGUCUGAUAGGCUCCGUGUGUGUGUGUGUGUGUGUGAGAGACUUUGUAUGAGGAUUGUGUUUUGUUUCUGUUUCGUUGUUUCUCUGGUUCUGUUUCAUUGUGUGUUUCAUGGUUUUAUUUAGACUGGAGGCUAUAUUUCAUGAAGCAUUGUGUGAGGAUUGUUUGUUGUUUCUGGUUUUGGUCUUGUAGGCUUUGUAAUGUGUUUUGAGUAAGUUUCAUCUUAAACAAGAAUUCCAGUUUCAUCUUA
Long non-coding RNA from Prosopis cineraria, 600 nucleotides. RefSeq lists it as uncharacterized. The transcript has 2 exons. The record is from RefSeq and is a predicted model, not a curated record. Lineage: Eukaryota; Viridiplantae; Streptophyta; Magnoliopsida; Fabales; Fabaceae.